This 252-nucleotide ribosomal RNA is filed under the name Stenotrophomonas maltophilia. Its description in RNAcentral is "partial 16S ribosomal RNA". It matches the Rfam family "Bacterial small subunit ribosomal RNA", at positions 772 to 1023 of the family's 1533-position model. Lineage: Bacteria; Pseudomonadati; Pseudomonadota; Gammaproteobacteria; Lysobacterales; Lysobacteraceae. The record is from RNAcentral.
ACAGGAUUAGAUACCCUGGUAGUCCACGCCCUAAACGAUGCGAACUGGAUGUUGGGUGCAAUUUGGCACGCAGUAUCGAAGCUAACGCGUUAAGUUCGCGCCUGGGGAGUACGGUCGCAAGACUGAAACUCAAAGGAAUUGACGGGGGCCCGCACAAGCGGUGGAGUAUGUGGUUUAAUUCGAUGCAACGCGAAGAACCUUACCUGGCCUUGACAUGUCGAGAACUUUCCAGAGAUGGAUUGGUGCCUUCGG